This 404-nucleotide ribosomal RNA is filed under the name Harmothoe sp. 207 PB. Its description in RNAcentral is "partial 16S ribosomal RNA". It matches the Rfam family "Bacterial large subunit ribosomal RNA", at positions 1959 to 2597 of the family's 2925-position model. Lineage: Eukaryota; Metazoa; Annelida; Polychaeta; Phyllodocida; Polynoidae. The record is from RNAcentral.
GCAUAAUCAUUUGCCUUUUAAUUAAAGGCUAGUAUGAACGGGAAAACGUAGAUUUAGCUGUUUCUAUUUUAUAAAUAAAAUUUAAACUUUAGGUGAAGAUCCCUAAGUUUUAUAGAAAGACAAGAAGACCCUAUAGAGUUUCAGUAUAAAUAUUCACCCAUAAUAAUUUAAACUUUGGUUGGGGCGACCUAGGAUUUUUAUUAACAUCCUUUCAUCACUUCGACACUUAAUUCCUCAUUAUUGACCCUAAAACAGAUCAUCAAAAUAAACUACCUUAGGGAUAACAGGCUUAUCAUCCUAAAGAGUUCUCAUCAACAGGAUGGUUUGGCACCUCGAUGUUGGCUUAGAGUAACUUCCUAUCGCAACAGAUAGAGACAGUCAGUUUGUUCAACUGUUAAAUCUCU